AUUGAACGCUGGCGGCAGGCCUAACACAUGCAAGUCGAGCGGAAACGAGUUAUCUAAACCUUCGGGGAACGAUAACGGCGUCGAGCGGCGGACGGGUGAGUAAUGCCUAGGAAAUUGCCAUGAUGUGGGGAUAACCAUUGGAAACGAUGGCUAAUACCGCAUGAUGCCUACGGGCCAAAGAGGGGGACCUUCGGGCCUCUCGCGUCAGGAUAUGCCUAGGUGGGAUUAGCUAGUUGGUGAGGUAAGGGCUCACCAAGGCAACGAUCCCUAGCUGGUCUGAGAGGAUGAUCAGCCACACUGGAACUGAGACACGGUCCAGACUCCUACGGGAGGCAGCAGUGGGGAAUAUUGCACAAUGGGCGCAAGCCUGAUGCAGCCAUGCCGCGUGUGUGAAGAAGGCCUUCGGGUUGUAAAGCACUUUCAGUCGUGAGGAAGGUAGUGUGUUUAAUAGAUGCAUUAUUUGACGUUAGCGACAGAAGAAGCACCGGCUAACUCCGUGCCAGCAGCCGCGGUAAUACGGAGGGUGCGAGCGUUAAUCGGAAUUACUGGGCGUAAAGCGCAUGCAGGUGGUUUGUUAAGUCAGAUGUGAAAGCCCGGGGCUCAACCUCGGAAUAGCAUUUGAAACUGGCAGACUAGAGUACUGUAGAGGGGGGUAGAAUUUCAGGUGUAGCGGUGAAAUGCGUAGAGAUCUGAAGGAAUACCGGUGGCGAAGGCGGCCCCCUGGACAGAUACUGACACUCAGAUGCGAAAGCGUGGGGAGCAAACAGG
RNAcentral lists this ribosomal RNA (768 nucleotides) under uncultured Pseudoalteromonadaceae bacterium. RNAcentral's name for it is "bacterial SSU rRNA". It matches the Rfam family "Bacterial small subunit ribosomal RNA", at positions 28 to 776 of the family's 1533-position model. The record is from RNAcentral. Lineage: Bacteria; Pseudomonadati; Pseudomonadota; Gammaproteobacteria; Alteromonadales; Pseudoalteromonadaceae.